This 168-nucleotide non-coding RNA is filed under the name chicken gut metagenome. RNAcentral describes it as "Lysine riboswitch". It matches the Rfam family "Lysine riboswitch aptamer". From Rfam's summary of the family: Riboswitches are metabolite binding domains within certain messenger RNAs that serve as precision sensors for their corresponding targets. Allosteric rearrangement of mRNA structure is mediated by ligand binding, and this results in modulation of gene expression. The record is from RNAcentral.
AAUGAUAGAGGCGCGGCGUUCAUCAGUACCCUCCGCCCAACCGGCAGUCACCGGGGAGGGGAAAGGGGUCGCCGCCGAAGGGUUCCCCCAGUGGCUGACAGGGGAACGCCUGGGCCGUCAGAGAAUAUCUGACGGACUGCCAUUGAGAUACAAUGGAGCGCUUGCCGA